RNAcentral lists this ribosomal RNA (501 nucleotides) under uncultured bacterium. RNAcentral describes it as "partial 16S ribosomal RNA". It matches the Rfam family "Bacterial small subunit ribosomal RNA", at positions 28 to 523 of the family's 1533-position model. The record is from RNAcentral.
GAUGAACGCUGGCGGCAGGCUUAACACAUGCAAGUCGAGCGGAGAUGAGGUGCUUGCACCUUAUCUUAGCGGCGGACGGGUGAGUAAUGCUUAGGAAUCUGCCUAUUAGUGGGGGACAACAUUCCGAAAGGAAUGCUAAUACCGCAUACGUCCUACGGGAGAAAGCAGGGGAUCUUCGGACCUUGCGCUAAUAGAUGAGCCUAAGUCGGGUUAGCUAGUUGGCGGGGUAAAGGCCUACCAAGGCGACGAUCUGUAGCGGGUCUGAGAGGAUGAUCCGCCACACUGGGACUGAGAAACGGCCCAGACUCCUACGGGAGGCAGCAGUGGGGAAUAUUGGACAAUGGGGGGAACCCUGAUCCAGCCAUGCCGCGUGUGUGAAGAAGACCUUAUGGUUGUAAAGCACUUUAAGCGAGGAGGAGGCUACUGAGACUAAUACUCUUGGAUAGUGGACGUUACUCGCAGAAUAAGCACCGGCUAACUCUGUGCCAGCAGCCGCGGUAA